RNAcentral lists this ribosomal RNA (460 nucleotides) under Escherichia coli. RNAcentral's name for it is "bacterial LSU rRNA". It matches the Rfam family "Bacterial large subunit ribosomal RNA", at positions 2488 to 2925 of the family's 2925-position model. The record is from RNAcentral. Lineage: Bacteria; Pseudomonadati; Pseudomonadota; Gammaproteobacteria; Enterobacterales; Enterobacteriaceae.
CCGCCCAAGAGUCUGUGUCGACGGCGUUGUUUGGCACCUCGUUAUCGGCUCAUCUCAUCCUGGGGCUGAAUUAGGUCCCAAGGGUAUGGCAGUUCGCCAUUUAAGUUGGUACGCGAGCUGGGUUUAGAACGUCGUGAGACAGUUCGGUCCCUAUCUGCCGUGGGCGCUGGAGAACUGAGGGGGGCUGCUCCUAGUACGAGAGGACCGGAGUGGACGCAUCACUGGUGUUCGGGUUGUCAUGCCAAUGGCACUGCCCGGUAGCUAAAUGCGGAAGAGAUAAGUGCUGAAAGCAUCUAAGCACGAAACUUGCCCCGAGAUGAGUUCUCCCUGACUCCUUGAGAGUCCUGAAGGAACGUUGAAGACGACGACGUUGAUAGGCCGGGUGUGUAAGCGCAGCGAUGCGUUGAGCUAACCGGUACUAAUGAACCGUGAGGCUUAACCUUACAACGCCGAAGCUGUU